This is a long non-coding RNA of Cotesia glomerata, 664 nucleotides long. RefSeq lists it as uncharacterized. Lineage: Eukaryota; Metazoa; Arthropoda; Insecta; Hymenoptera; Braconidae. The transcript has 2 exons. The record is from RefSeq and is a predicted model, not a curated record.
AAGUGACCGUAAAGUAAAAAACAGUUAUCUUAAACUUUAAUCUAUUAUUAUUUUACAAGUAAUAAAUAAUUAUUAAAAGUACUGUAUUAAUUAUUUUUUAUCAAGUGUAAGAAGUAUAAAAAUCAUUAAUAAUAUUAAAUCAUGAGCAUAAACACUAAUCCUGUUAUAAUUCAAUAUUCUAUAAAAUAAAUUCUCACGUUGAGAAAUGAAAAUAAUACUCCAUAGCCUUCUCAAAGGUAUCACAUGCUCUAUUAAACCAGUUAUUAUCGCUUUCAUCCAGUUGAUCAACUAGAAAAUAUCAGCCUUCGAGAUUCAAAGCACGUGCUAGAUUUCUCGCGACCGCUAACCGGAAUAUUUCAAGUUUAUCUUCGAAUUUGGGGUCGUCGCCGUGUGCUUCGACGCAGCGUGCUAGUAUGGAUGUGUCUUCACUUGAAAACAAAACUUCAUCACUUUCUAAAAGUGGAAUCGCGUCUGUCAACAGUGUUGACCAAAAACUGGAAAUAUAAAUAGGAAAUUUAGUAAAGAUUUUAAAUAAAUUAUUAUCUAAUAAAAAACUUACUACUUAGGCGUCAAAUUUGAAAUUAUCAGAGCGAUUAAUAAUCGCGCAGCUUCUUUGAAUUCUCUCAUUUCAUACAUUUGAUGGAAUUCGCAGUAUUUUCCUGAU